This 487-nucleotide ribosomal RNA is filed under the name uncultured bacterium. RNAcentral's name for it is "bacterial SSU rRNA". It matches the Rfam family "Bacterial small subunit ribosomal RNA", at positions 501 to 987 of the family's 1533-position model. The record is from RNAcentral.
CUACGUGCCAGCAGCCGCGGUAAUACGUAGGUGGCAAGCGUUGUCCGGAAUUAUUGGGCGUAAAGCGCGCGCAGGCGGAUUGGUCAGUCUGUCUUAAAAGUUCGGGGCUUAACCCCGUGAUGGGAUGGAAACUGCCAAUCUAGAGUAUCGGAGAGGAAAGUGGAAUUCCUAGUGUAGCGGUGAAAUGCGUAGAUAUUAGGAAGAACACCAGUGGCGAAGGCGACUUUCUGGACGAAAACUGUCGCUGAGGCGCGAAAGCCAGGGGAGCGAACGGGAUUAGAUACCCCGGUAGUCCUGGCCGUAAACGAUGGGUACUAGGUGUAGGAGGUAUCGACCCCUUCUGUGCCGGAGUUAACGCAAUAAGUACCCCGCCUGGGGAGUACGACCGCAAGGUUGAAACUCAAAGGAAUUGACGGGGGCCCGCACAAGCGGUGGAGUAUGUGGUUUAAUUCGACGCAACGCGAAGAACCUUACCAGGUCUUGACAU